AGUUUUAGUUUGUGCUAGUGAAACUGAUUGAGAUCUUUGUGGUGGGUUAUAGGUGAGUGAUAAGAUGGAUCCGAAUGAGCUUGUGAAGCUGAUUGAGAUCUUGAAUGCUGAUAAUAAACCUGGUAGGAUCACAAUUAUCACCAGAAUGGGAGCAGAGAAUAUGAGAGUGAAGCUUCCUAAUUUGAUUAGAGCUGUGCGACGUGCUGGACAGAUUGUGACUUGGGUCAGUGAUCCAAUGCAUGGAAACACCAUUAAGGCUCCUUGUGGCCUCAAGACUCGUCCGUUUGACUCUAUAAUGGUAAGGUUUACAUAAAACUUUCUCUAAUUGGUUUUGUCAAAAAAAAAAAAGCUUUCUCUAAUUGGUUAGUAUAUGUUUGUUGUAGUAGGUGAGAUAGCGAAAGGAGACAUUAAUCAACUUUAGUUGGGCUAAAGUUGACGACAACUGCUUUUUUCUAUAGUUUGGUGGUCUUUAAAAUAUAGUGAAAAAAUUAUCAAAAGCACGUGUCCUGAAUUUAUCUGCUACGUCUAUUUUUAGUAGACUUUGAAGUUUAUUUUUGAUAAGUUAUAACAAAAUAACCUAAUAAUUUUUUUUUCUGUUAACUGAAAAAUAUUUAGGCUGAAGUGAAAGCAUUCUUCGACGUGCAUGAACAAGAAGGGAGCCACCCAGGAGGUGUUCACUUAGAGAUGACCGGUCAGAACGUGACCGAGUGCAUCGGCGGUUCACGCACAGUCACGUUCGAUGACUUGAGCUCGCGAUACCACACGCACUGUGACCCGCGCCUCAAUGCUUCUCAGUCUCUCGAGCUCUCCUUCAUCAUUGCCGAACGCCUUAGAAAGAGACGCAUCAAGUCCCAACAGGCUUUUUCCGUCUAAUUUAAACAAACAUGUGGUGUAAUAUCUCUAUAUAAAAUAAGUGUGUGAAUUCAAUAUACUGUCCCGUUUAUCUUUGAUCCAAAUAUUGGGUCAAUAGAACGCGUAAGGUUUUGUUUUGAUAUUGUUGUUAAUGAGUAUUAUUUCCAUUUUACAAUAUAAUCAUGGAACGUUUUUAUUCAUGUUGUGAACAGUUUUGUGGUAGAACAAAAACAUAGGUUCUGACUGUAAUCAAUUAAACUGAAAGGUCCAGUCUGAUAUUGACCAAUAAGUAUUCUGAACUUAAAACCUAGCAAUACGUUUUUAAACAAUACAUCCAAGGUCUAAUUAAGUCUGAUAUUGUGCAACUAGUAUUCUGAAAAAAAGAAAAAACUACUGUAGUAUUCUGAACUUAAAACCUGGCAAUACUUUUAUAUAUAAACAAAACAAAAACAUACAUACAAAGGUCAAGUCUGAUAUUUGUAAAACUUAAAACCCAGCGAUACGUUUAUAAACAAAACAAAAGUAUAAAUACAGUUCAAGUCUGAUAUUGUGCAACUAGUAUUCUAAACUUAAAACCUAGAAAUACGUUUAUUAACAAAACAAAAAUAUACAUAUACAAAGGUCAAGGUCAAGUCUGAUAUUGUGCAAUUAGUACUUCAAACCUAGCAAUACGUUAUAAGCAAAAACAAAAGUAUUCAUACGUGGUCAAGUCUGAUAUUGUGCAAUUAGUAGUAUUCUAAACUUAGAACCUAGCAAUACGUUUAUAAACAAAACAAAACAAAAUAUCUAAAGAAAACGAAGACGCUUCUUCACCUAUGUCUAUCGUCUACUUGAUCAAACCAGAAAUUUCCAUCUCAAUUCCUAAAACACAAUUCUAUUUUUUUCUUUUUUCUUAAACUUAACGAAAAGAUAAGUUAUAUACACACACAUUUUAAUAACUUAGAGUGAAUAGUGAAUACCAUCAGUGUGAUAUCCAUAGCUUAAAAUCGUGGAAAUUAACAGUGAAGCAAAUCAACGCGAAGAAUUAUCUAAAUGGUUCAUCAAAUACCUAAACCGUCAAGGUGAUUGGUUAGAGAAAACAAGAGGCAAUCUGAUGGUUGCGGCGACGGUCAUAGCCGGAAUGAGUUUUCAAGUUAUGGUUAAUCCUCCAAGUGGCGUUUGGCAAAGUGACAUAUGUUCCCCUGGACAUCAAACUGGUGUUUGUAAAGCGAAAGUCUGGGGGGCAAUAGUUCAAACUUCAAAGCAUGGGUUUUAUCAUGGAAUGGUUACUAGUACUACAGUAGGCAGGUACCGUGAACUAGCUCACCGUGUUGAUGAAGCGCUUGGUUUCAUGCACGCGGCUGGACUCACGCUUGAUCAUCCCAUCAUGCAAACAACCGAGUUCUGGACUUCUCAUGUGUGCUUGCUCUUGCCUUAUGAACAAUCACUAACAAGGCUGGACUCAACUUCUGGUCUCUACUAUGAUUGUUCUGCUCAUAUGAUUUGGGUCGGUGAGCGAACAAGACAGCUUGAUGGAGCACACGUCGAGUUUUUAAGAGGUGUUGCUAAUCCUCUUGGAAUCAAGGUUUUGUGUUUUUUUUUCUCCAACUCUAAAUACAUUAUCAAGUUUUAGUUUGUGCUAGUGAAACUGAUUGAGAUCUUUGUGGUGGGUUAUAGGUGAGUGAUAAGAUGGAUCCGAAUGAGCUUGUGAAGCUGAUUGAGAUCUUGAAUGCUGAUAAUAAACCUGGUAGGAUCACAAUUAUCACCAGAAUGGGAGCAGAGAAUAUGAGAGUGAAGCUUCCUAAUUUGAUUAGAGCUGUGCGACGUGCUGGACAGAUUGUGACUUGGGUCAGUGAUCCAAUGCAUGGA
Molecule: long non-coding RNA, 2700 nt
Filed under: Brassica napus (rape)
Lineage: Eukaryota; Viridiplantae; Streptophyta; Magnoliopsida; Brassicales; Brassicaceae
Description: long non-coding RNA (BNAP_LNC025614)
Source: RNAcentral